GCCGCAAGGUUAAAACUCAAAUGAAUUGACGGGGGCCCGCACAAGCGGUGGAGCAUGUGGUUUAAUUCGAUGCAACGCGAAGAACCUUACCUACUCUUGACAUCCAGAGAACUUAGCAGAGAUGCUUUGGUGCCUUCGGGAACUCUGAGACAGGUGCUGCAUGGCUGUCGUCAGCUCGUGUUGUGAAAUGUUGGGUUAAGUCCCGCAACGAGCGCAACCCUUAUCCUUUGUUGCCAGCGCCGGGAACUCAAAGGAGACUGCCAGUGAUAAACUGGAGGAAGGUGGGGAUGACGUCAAGUCAUCAUGGCCCUUACGAGUAGGGCUACACACGUGCUACAAUGGCGCAUACAAAGAGAAGCGACCUCGCGAGAGCAAGCGGACCUCAUAAAGUGCGUCGUAGUCCGGAUUGGAGUCUGCAACUCGACUCCAUGAAGUCGGAAUCGCUAGUAAUCGUGGAUCAGAAUGCCACGGUGAAUACGUUCCCGGGCCUUGUACACACCGCCCGUCACACCAUGGGAGUGGGU
RNAcentral lists this ribosomal RNA (524 nucleotides) under Enterobacter sp. Its description in RNAcentral is "bacterial SSU rRNA". It matches the Rfam family "Bacterial small subunit ribosomal RNA", at positions 885 to 1415 of the family's 1533-position model. The record is from RNAcentral. Lineage: Bacteria; Pseudomonadati; Pseudomonadota; Gammaproteobacteria; Enterobacterales; Enterobacteriaceae.